GCGGCAGGCAGUGAGGCAGCCAGCGCAGGGGCUUCUGCUGAGGGCGCAGGCGGAGCUUGAGGAAACCGCAGAUAAGUUUUUUUCACUUUGAAAGAUAGAGAUUAAUACAACUACUUAAAAAAUAUAGUCAAUAGGUUACUAAGAUAUUGCUUAGCGUUAAGCUUUUAACGUAAUUUUAAUAGCUUAAGAUUUUAAGAGAAAAUAUGAAGACUUAGAAGAGUAGCAUGACGAAGGAAAAGAUAAAAGAUUUCUAAAACAUGACGGAGGUUGAGAUGAAGCUUCUUCAUGGAGUAAAAAAUGUAUUUAAAAGAAAAUUGAGAGAAAGGACUACAGAGCCCUGAAUUAAUACCAAUAGAAGGGCAAUGCUUUUAGAUUAAAAUGAAGGUGACUUAAACAGCUUAAAGUUUACUUUAAAAGUUGUAGGUGAUUAAAAUAAUUUGAAGGCGAUCUUUUAAAAAGAGAUUAAACCGAAGGUGAUUAAAAGACCUUGAAAUCCAUGACGCAGGGAGAAUUGCGUCAUUUAAAGCCUAGUUAACGCAUUUAAACGCAGACGAAAAUGGAAAGAUUAGUUGGGAGUGGUAGGAUGAAACGAUUUGGAGAAGAUAGAAGUUUGAAGUGGAAAACUGGAAGACAGAAGUACAGGAAGGCGGAGAAAAGAAUAGAGAAGAUAGGGAAAUUAGAAGAUAAAAACAUACUUUUAGAAGAAAAAAGAUAAAUUUAAACCUGAAAAGUAGGAAGCAGAAGAAAAAAGACAAGCUAGGAAACAAAAAACUAAGGGCAAAAUGUACAAACUUAGAAGAAAAUUGGAAGAUAGAAACAAGAUAGAAAAUGAAAAUAUUGUCAAGAGUUUCAGAUAGAAAAUGAAAAACAAGCUAAGACAAGUAUUGGAGAAGUAUAGAAGAUAGAAAAAUAUAAAGCCAAAAAUUGGAUAAAAUAGCACUGAAAAAGUGAGGAAAUUAUUGGUAACCAAUUUAUUUUAAAAGCCCAUCAAUUUAAUUUCUGGUGGUGCAGAAGUUAGAAGGUAAAGCUUGAGAAGAUGAGGGUGUUUACGUAGACCAGAACCAAUUUAGAAGAAUACUUGAAGCUAGAAGGGGAAGUUGGUUAAAAAUCACAUCAAAAAAGGACUGGUGUAAUUUAAAAAAAAACUAAGGCAGAAGGCUUUUGGAAGAGUUAGAAGAAUUUGGAAGGCCUUAAAUAUAGUAGCUUAGUUUGAAAAAUGUGAAGGACUUUCGUAACGGAAGUAAUUCAAGAUCAAGAGUAAUUACCAACUUAAUGUUUUUGCAUUGGACUUUGAGUUAAGAUUAUUUUUUAAAUCCUGAGGACUAGCAUUAAUUGACAGCUGACCCAGGUGCUACACAGAAGUGGAUUCAGUGAAUCUAGGAAGACAGCAGCAGACAGGAUUCCGGGAACCAGUGUUUGAUGAAGCUAGGACUGAGGAGCAAGCGAGCAAGCAGCAGUUCGUGGUGAAGAUAGGAAAAGAGUCCAGGAGCCAGUGCGAUUUGGUGAAGGAAGCUAGGAAGAAGGAAGGAGCGCUAACGAUUUGGUGGUGAAGCUAGGAAAAAGGAUUCCAGAAAGGAGCGAGUGCGAUUUGGUGAUGAAGCUAGCAGGCGGCUUGGCUUGGCAACCACACGGAGGAGGCGAGCAGGCGUUGUGCGUAGAUAGAGGAUCCUAGACCAGCAUGCCAGUGUGCCAAGGCCACAGGGAAAACGAGUGGUUGGUAAAAAUCCGUGAGGUCGGCAAUAUGUUGUUUUUCUGGAACUUAUGGUAACCUUUUAUUUAUUUUCUAAUAUAAUGGGGGAGUUUCGUACUGAGGUGUAAAGGGAUUUAUAUGGGGAACGUAGGCCGAUUUCCGGGUGUUGUAGGUUUCUCUUUUUCAGGCUUAUACUCAUGAAUCUUGUCUGAAGCUUUUGAGGGCAGACUGCCAAGUCCUGGAGAAAUAGUAGAUGGCAAGUUUGUGGGUUUUUUUUUUUUUUUUUUUUUUUUUUACGAAUUUGAGGAAAACCAAAUGAAUUUGAUAGCCAAAUUGAGACAAUUUCAGCAAAUCUGUAAGCAGUUUGUAUGUUUAGUUGGGGUAAAUGAAGUAUUUCAGUUUUGUGAAUAGAUGACCUGUUUUUACUUCCUCACCCUGAAUUCGUUUUGUAAAUGUAGAGUUUGGAUGUGUAACUGAGGCGGGGGGGAGUUUUCAGUAUUUUUUUUUUGUGGGGGUGGGGGCAAAAUAUGUUUUCAGUUCUUUUUCCCUUAGGUCUGUCUAGAAUCCUAAAGGCAAAUGACUCAAGGUGUAACAGAAAACAAGAAAAUCCAAUAUCAGGAUAAUCAGACCACCACAGGUUUACAGUUUAUAGAAACUAGAGCAGUUCUCACGUUGAGGUCUGUGGAAGAGAUGUCCAUUGGAGAAAUGGCUGGUAGUUACUCUUUUUUCCCCCCACCCCCUUAAUCAGACUUUAAAAGUGCUUAACCCCUUAAACUUGUUAUUUUUUACUUGAAGCAUUUUGGGAUGGUCUUAACAGGGAAGAGAGAGGGUGGGGGAGAAAAUGUUUUUUUCUAAGAUUUUCCACAGAUGCUAUAGUACUAUUGACAAACUGGGUUAGAGAAGGAGUGUACCGCUGUGCUGUUGGCACGAACACCUUCAGGGACUGGAGCUGCUUUUAUCCUUGGAAGAGUAUUUCCAGUUGAAGCUGAAAAGUACAGCACAGUGCAGCUUUGGUUCAUAUUCAGUCAUCUCAGGAGAACUUCAGAAGAGCUUGAGUAGGCCAAAUGUUGAAGUUAAGUUUUCCAAUAAUGUGACUUCUUAAAAGUUUUAUUAAAGGGGAGGGGCAAAUAUUGGCAAUUAGUUGGCAGUGGCCUGUUACGGUUGGGAUUGGUGGGGUGGGUUUAGGUAAUUGUUUAGUUUAUGAUUGCAGAUAAACUCAUGCCAGAGAACUUAAAGUCUUAGAAUGGAAAAAGUAAAGAAAUAUCAACUUCCAAGUUGGCAAGUAACUCCCAAUGAUUUAGUUUUUUUCCCCCCAGUUUGAAUUGGGAAGCUGGGGGAAGUUAAAUAUGAGCCACUGGGUGUACCAGUGCAUUAAUUUGGGCAAGGAAAGUGUCAUAAUUUGAUACUGUAUCUGUUUUCCUUCAAAGUAUAGAGCUUUUGGGGAAGGAAAGUAUUGAACUGGGGGUUGGUCUGGCCUACUGGGCUGACAUUAAUUACAAUUAUGGGAAAUGCAAAAGUUGUUUGGAUAUGGUAGUGUGUGGUUCUCUUUUGGAAUUUUUUUCAGGUGAUUUAAUAAUAAUUUAAAACUACUAUAGAAACUUCAGAGCAAAGGAAGUGGCUUAAUGAUCCUGAAGGGAUUUCUUCUGAUGGUAGCUUUUGUAUUAUCAAACUUUUUUCAGAUAACAUCUUCUGAGUCAUAACCAGCCUGGCAGUAUGAUGGCCUAGAUGCAGAGAAAACAGCUCCUUGGUGAAUUGAUAAGUAAAGGCAGAAAAGAUUAUAUGUCAUACCUCCAUUGGGGAAUAAGCAUAACCCUGAGAUUCUUACUACUGAUGAGAACAUUAUCUGCAUAUGCCAAAAAAUUUUAAGCAAAUGAAAGCUACCAAUUUAAAGUUACGGAAUCUACCAUUUUAAAGUUAAUUGCUUGUCAAGCUAUAACCACAAAAAUAAUGAAUUGAUGAGAAAUACAAUGAAGAGCCAAUGUCCAUCUCAAAAUACUGCUUUUACAAAAGCAGAAUAAAAGCGAAAUGAAAUGAAAAUGUUAUACUACAUUAAUCCUGGAAUAAAAGAAGCCGAAAUAAAUGAGAGAUGAGUUGGGAUCAAGUGGAUUGAGGAGGCUGUGCUGUGUGCCAAUGUUUCGUUUGCCUCAGACAGGUAUCUCUUCGUUAUCAGAAGAGUUGCUUCAUUUCAUCUGGGAGCAGAAAACAGCAGGCAGCUGUUAACAGAUAAGUUUAACUUGCAUCUGCAGUAUUGCAUGUUAGGGAUAAGUGCUUAUUUUUAAGAGGUGUGGAGUUCUUAAAUAUCAACCAUGGCACUUUCUCCUGACCCCUUCCCUAGGGGAUUUCAGGAUUGAGAAAUUUUUCCAUCGAGCCUCUUUAAAAUUGUAGGACUUGUUCCUGUGGGCUUCAAUGAUGGGAUAGUACACUUCACUCAGAGGCAUUUGCAUCUUUAAAUAAUUUCUUAAAAGCCUCUAAAGUGAUCAGUGCCUUGAUGCCAACUAAGGAAAUUUGUUUAGCAUUGAAUCUCUGAAGGCUCUAUGAAAGGAAUAGCAUGAUGUGCUGUUAGAAUCAGAUGUUAUUGCUAAAAUUUACAUGUUGUGUUGUGAUGUAAAUUGUGUAGAAAACCAUUAAAUCAUUCAAAAUAAUAAACUAUUUUUAUUAGAGAAUGUAUACUUUUAGAAAGCUGUCUCCUUAUUUAAAUACAAUACUGUUUGUCUGUAGUUUAGUGUUGGGGCAAUCUUGGGGGGGAUUCUUCUCUAAUCUUUCAGAAACUUUGUCUGCGAACACUCUUUAAUGGACCAGAUCAGGAUUUGAGCGGAAGAACGAAUGUAACUUUAAGGCAGGAAAGACAAAUUUUAUUCUUCAUAAAGUGAUGAGCAUAUAAUAAUUCCAGGCACAUGGCAAUAGAGGCCCUCUAAAUAAGGAAUAAAUAACCUCUUAGACAGGUGGGAGAUUAUGAUCAGAGUAAAAGGUAAUUACACAUUUUAUUUCCAGAAAGUCAGGGGUCUAUAAAUUGACAGUGAUUAGAGUAAUACUUUUUCACAUUUCCAAAGUUUGCAUGUUAACUUUAAAUGCUUACAAUCUUAGAGUGGUAGGCAAUGUUUUACAUUAUUGACCUUAUAUAGGGAAGGGAGGGGGUGCCUGUGGGUUUUUAAAGAAUUUUCCUUUGCAGAGGCAUUUCAUCCUUCAUGAAGCUGUUCAGGAUUUUGAAUUGCAUAUGAGUGCUUGGCUCUUCCUUCUGUUCUCCUAACUUCACAGAGAAUGCAGUUGUCUUGACUUCAGGUCUGUCUGUUCUGUUGGCAAGUAAAUGCAGUACUGUUCUGAUCCCGCUGCUAUUAGAAUGCAUUGUGAAACGACUGGAGUAUGAUUAAAAGUUGUGUUCCCCAAUGCUUGGAGUAGUGAUUGUUGAAGGAAAAAAUCCAGCUGAGUGAUAAAGGCUGAGUGUUGAGGAAAUUUCUGCAGUUUUAAGCAGUCGUAUUUGUGAUUGAAGCUGAGUACAUUUUGCUGGUGUAUUUUUAGGUAAAAUGCUUUUUGUUCAUUUCUGGUGCUGGGAGGGGACUGAAGCCUUUAGUCUUUUCCAGAUGCAACCUUAAAAUCAGUGACAAGAAACAAAUUCCAAACAAGCAACAGUCUUCAAGAAAUUAAACUGGCAAGUGGAAAUGUUUAAACAGUUCAGUGAUCUUUAGUGCAUUGUUUUUGUGUGGGUUUCUCUCUCCCCUCCCUUGGUCUUAAUUCUUACAUGCAGGAACACUCAGCAGACACACGUAUGCGAAGGGCCAGAGAAGCCAGACCCAGUAAGAAAAAAUAGCCUAUUUACUUUAAAUAAACCAAACAUUCCAUUUUAAAUGUGGGGAUUGGGAACCACUAGUUCUUUCAGAUGGUAUUCUUCAGACUAUAGAAGGAGCUUCCAGUUGAAUUCACCAGUGGACAAAAUGAGGAAAACAGGUGAACAAGCUUUUUCUGUAUUUACAUACAAAGUCAGAUCAGUUAUGGGACAAUAG
RNAcentral lists this long non-coding RNA (5688 nucleotides) under Pan troglodytes (chimpanzee). RNAcentral describes it as "long non-coding RNA NONPTRT002691". The stretch from base 3636 to 3730 matches the Rfam family "Metastasis associated lung adenocarcinoma transcript 1". Lineage: Eukaryota; Metazoa; Chordata; Mammalia; Primates; Hominidae. The record is from RNAcentral.